This 347-nucleotide unclassified non-coding RNA is filed under the name soil metagenome. RNAcentral describes it as "partial contains 5.8S ribosomal RNA, internal transcribed spacer 2, and large subunit ribosomal RNA". The stretch from base 1 to 120 matches the Rfam family "5.8S ribosomal RNA", at positions 35 to 154 of the family's 154-position model. The record is from RNAcentral.
GAUGAAGAACGUAGCGAAAUGCGAUAACUAAUGUGAAUUGCAGAAUUCCGUGAAUCAUCGAGUCUUUGAACGCACAUUGCGCCCCCUGGUAUUCCGGGGGGCAUGCCUGUCCGAGCGUCAUUGCUGCCCAUCAAGCACGGCUUGUGUGUUGGGUCCCGUCCCCCUCUCCCGGGGGACGGCCCCGAAAGGCAGCGGCGGCACCGCGUCCGGUCCUCGAGCGUAUGGGGCUUUGUCACCCGCUCUUGUAGGCCCGGCCGGCGCUUGCCGACACCCAACCAUUUUUUUCAGGUUGACCUCGGAUCAGGUAGGGAUACCCGCUGAACUUAAGCAUAUCAAUAAGCGGAGGA